This 274-nucleotide ribosomal RNA is filed under the name uncultured bacterium. RNAcentral's name for it is "partial 16S ribosomal RNA". It matches the Rfam family "Bacterial small subunit ribosomal RNA", at positions 523 to 796 of the family's 1533-position model. The record is from RNAcentral.
AUACGGAGGGUGCAAGCGUUACUCGGAAUCACUGGGCGUAAAGCGCGCGCAGGCGGCCAUUUAAGUUGGAUGUGAAAGCCUACGGCUCAACCGUAGAACUGCAUCCAAAACUAUUUGGCUAGAGUGUGGGAGAGGAAGAUGGAAUUAGUUGUGUAGGGGUAAAAUCCGUAGAGAUAACUAGGAAUACCAAAAGCGAAGGCAAUCUUCUGGAACACUACUGACGCUGAGGCGCGAAAGCGUGGGGAGCAAACAUGAUUAGAAACCCUAGUAGUCC